This 79-nucleotide transfer RNA is filed under the name Claviceps purpurea 20.1. It matches the Rfam family "tRNA". Rfam says of the family: Transfer RNA (tRNA) molecules are approximately 80 nucleotides in length. Their secondary structure includes four short double-helical elements and three loops (D, anti-codon, and T loops). Lineage: Eukaryota; Fungi; Ascomycota; Sordariomycetes; Hypocreales; Clavicipitaceae. The record is from Rfam by way of RNAcentral.
GGGCGGAUGGUUUAGUGGUAUAAUACUCCCUUAGCAUGUUGCCUGGGAGUGGUCCGGGGUUCGAUUCCCCGUCUGUCCA